This 253-nucleotide ribosomal RNA is filed under the name uncultured bacterium. RNAcentral's name for it is "partial 16S ribosomal RNA". It matches the Rfam family "Bacterial small subunit ribosomal RNA", at positions 524 to 776 of the family's 1533-position model. The record is from RNAcentral.
GACGAAGGAUGCAAGCGUUAUCCGGAUUCAUUGGGUUUAAAGGGAGCGUAGGCGGUCUUAUAAGUCAGUGGUGAAAGCUCCUCGCUUAACGAGGAAAUUGCCAUUGAUACUGUAGGACUUGAGUACAGUUGCUGUGGGCGGAAUAUGACAUGUAGUGGUGAAAUACAUAGAUAUGUCAUAGAACACCGAUUGCGAAGGCAGCUCACAAAACUGUAACUGACGCUGAGGCUCGAAAGUGCGGGGAUCAAACAGG